This 498-nucleotide ribosomal RNA is filed under the name uncultured bacterium. RNAcentral describes it as "partial 16S ribosomal RNA". It matches the Rfam family "Bacterial small subunit ribosomal RNA", at positions 30 to 523 of the family's 1533-position model. The record is from RNAcentral.
AUUGAACGCUGGCGGCAUGCCAUACACAUGCAAGUCGAACGGUAACAGGUCUUCGGAUGCUGACGAGUGGCGAACGGGUGAGUAAUACAUCGGAACGUGCCUAGUAGUGGGGGAUAACUACUCGAAAGAGUGGCUAAUACCGCAUGAGAUCUACGGAUGAAAGCAGGGGAUCGCAAGACCUUGUGCUACUAGAGCGGCCGAUGGCAGAUUAGGUAGUUGGUGGGAUAAAAGCUUACCAAGCCGACGAUCUAUAGCUGGUCUGAGAGGACGAUCAGCCACACUGGGACUGAGACACGACCCAGACUCCUACGGGAGGCAGCAGUGGGGAAUUUUGGACAAUGGGCGAAAGCCUGAUCCAGCAAUGCCGCGUGCAGGAUGAAGGCCUUCGGGUUGUAAACUGCUUUUGUACGGAACGAAAAGCCCCGGGUUAAUACCCUGGGGUCAUGACGGUACCGUAAGAAUAAGCACCAGCUAACUACGUGCCAGCCGCCGCCGUAA